Molecule: long non-coding RNA, 995 nt
Filed under: Numida meleagris (helmeted guineafowl)
Lineage: Eukaryota; Metazoa; Chordata; Aves; Galliformes; Numididae
Description: lncRNA (ENSNMEG00000017180.1)
Source: RNAcentral
CUGAAAUGGGAGGUGGCACUACAUGAACUUCUGCUCUGGACCAGUGCGUUGUUUCCUAUAGCCCUAGUGUUUUGCGAGCAUGUGUUUAUGUGACAGUGCAGUUUCUUGAAUGGGAAGGGAAAGGACAGAAACAAAUACAAGUACAUUCCUGUUAAUUUCAUUACAUUCCCAGUACAAAACUAAUUAUUCCUUAUUUCCAGCAAAUUGAGCAGGGUGAGCAGCAGGAAUUCCUCUGGAUUCUAACCCUGCACCUGUGGUACAUCUCCCAGCAAGUGAUGGGCUUGAGUGUCUGCAAGGGAGGGUUGGAGGGUUUCUGUGCAAACAAAACCCAUUUCUAACCUUGGCAGCUGCAGCAGAGAGCUGCUGGUUGUUGCUCUGCACUUGAGGAGCCAAACAAGGCGUGAGCUCCUGGCUUGGCUGAGGUUCCUUGUGCUGGGACAAAAACAGGGCACAAACAUAUCCCAUGUAGCUGAAGUAUAUUCAGCUACGCAGGUUUAUAUGCAGAGAGGCUCCAAGUUGUUUCUAUGGACCAGGACAAGCAAACUCACACAUUUCUUUUUUCUUCCUUUAAGCCGCAAAUCCAGUCUCAUUUUCUCUAAAUCACAUGCUAGACAGGCUGGUUUUCAACCAACCUCUGCGUUUACAUUACAGCUCCAUUUCCUGUCCCCAUGCUCCGGCUACUUCUGGAACCAGUGGAGUGACUUCAUGCAAGGAACCCACCAGAAUUUGAUGUUGGACACUGCCGAGCUCAGCCUGCUCCGUGAAGUACAUAGUGCUGCUUGGGAUGCAGCCCUGCUGCAAUGGCACCACGAGUUUGGGUACCUGCCUGUGCUUCCCCACCAGAAAGGACAUCAGAAACCAGGUAAGAGUGAAAUGUUUUGAAAUGCAAGGAACCUUCUAGUUCUGCAGCUGCUAUCUGUGAGCCUGCAUUUGUGCUACAGCCCAUACUUUUUCCCAGGUGUGCCCAGGGACUGCCUUUGUUUUCUCCUCAGCCU